Molecule: small nucleolar RNA, 138 nt
Filed under: Ornithorhynchus anatinus (platypus)
Lineage: Eukaryota; Metazoa; Chordata; Mammalia; Monotremata; Ornithorhynchidae
Source: RNAcentral
CCCCUCUCAGUGUCACCCCUGGAGAGUUGCCAGUAUUCUACCAGUCUCAGCUAUGGGAGGCAGAGUCAAGCAGAGACCUGUCCAUUCCAUUCCUAGCUUGGCCAGUGGCUAGCAAGUGGAAGGCAAUCUGCCACAAGU